Phytophthora infestans T30-4 is the source of this 73-nucleotide transfer RNA. It matches the Rfam family "tRNA". Rfam says of the family: Transfer RNA (tRNA) molecules are approximately 80 nucleotides in length. Their secondary structure includes four short double-helical elements and three loops (D, anti-codon, and T loops). Lineage: Eukaryota; Oomycota; Peronosporomycetes; Peronosporales; Peronosporaceae. The record is from Rfam.
ACCCGUCUAGCUCAGUCGGUAGAGCGCUGGCCUUUUAAGCCAGUGGUCGUGGGUUCGAUCCCCACGGGGGGGU